RNAcentral lists this ribosomal RNA (93 nucleotides) under salal root associated fungus UBCtra1121C. Its description in RNAcentral is "partial 5.8S ribosomal RNA". It matches the Rfam family "5.8S ribosomal RNA", at positions 64 to 154 of the family's 154-position model. Rfam says of the family: 5.8S ribosomal RNA (5.8S rRNA) is a component of the large subunit of the eukaryotic ribosome. The record is from RNAcentral. Lineage: Eukaryota; Fungi; Ascomycota.
AAUGUGAAUUGCAGAAUUUAGUGAAUCAUCGAAUCUUUGAACGCACAUUGCGCCCCUUGGUAUUCCGAGGGGCAUGCCUGUUCGAGCGUCAUU